Molecule: transfer RNA, 69 nt
Filed under: Byturus ochraceus
Lineage: Eukaryota; Metazoa; Arthropoda; Insecta; Coleoptera; Byturidae
Description: tRNA-Met
Rfam family: tRNA
About the family: Transfer RNA (tRNA) molecules are approximately 80 nucleotides in length. Their secondary structure includes four short double-helical elements and three loops (D, anti-codon, and T loops).
Source: RNAcentral
AAAAAGAUAAGCUAAUAAAGCUAUUAGGUUCAUACCCUAAUUAUAAAGGUUCUAAUCCUUUUCUUUUUA